AGGUCGACCCGCUGAAUUUAAGCAUAUCACUAAGCGGAGGAAAAGAAACUAACUAGGAUUCCCUUAGUAACGGCGAGUGAAGAGGGAGAAGCCCAGCACCGAAGCCUGCGGCAGUUUUGCUGUUAGGCAAUGUGGUGUUUGGGUCGACUGGCGGGAUUGCCACUCCGCUCGAAGUCCAGCAUUGAGUAUGGUACCCUGGAUUUGGCCCAUAGAGGGUGAAAGGCCCGUGCGAGCGGAGUUUCAGACAUGAAAGGCAGUUCAUCAGGUCGACCUUCGAGUCGGGUUGUUUGAGAAUGCAGCCCUAAGCGGGUGGUAAACUCCAUCCAAGGCUAAAUACAAGCACGAGUCCGAUAGCGAACAAGUACCGUGAGGGAAAGUUGAAAAGUACUCUGAAGAGAGAGUAAACAGUGCGUGAAACCGUAUAAAGGUAAACGGGUGGCGUCAAGCUGCAAGCCCUGAGGAUUCAGUCGGCCAUUGUGUUGUGUAUAUGCCUUGUGUUUCUCAGUCGGUGAUAGUGAGCGGUCCGCUUGGAAAUGGUGGGCCAGGCCGCAAGGUCUGGAUGUACGAACCACGUGUUUGGUGGUGUACGCCGCUCGACUAUUGGACUGGAUGGCCGAUGCACUUCCUCUGUAUGGGUGAACACCACGACCGGUGGAACUGCCAGUCUGGCUUAGCCAAGUUGCGCCUGGUCCGGCAUUCGUGUCGACUAGGUGCGAUCGCAGGCAAAUUCGGUGGACGGUGAACGGCCCUUCGGGGCUGUUCAUGUUAUCGGUCACUGGUUGUCAACGGGUCUGUCUGUCGGUGGUUGCAGUCCUCGAUGGAUGACCCGGCGGGCUUUGCUGGUAUGAAUAACUGUGCAGUGCACCGGAGAUGUCGGUCUCAAAUCCGGUCAGCGUGCACACUGCAAGUGUGAAAUGGCGGCGCCAUCGCGGCCUGUCGAUGGUUGGGUCUGAUCGUCGUGUUGCCUGCGCAAAGUGGGCCCGGCGGUGGCCUGACCUCGGAUGGUGCUGUUGGUGGCGUUGCUGUGUGCUGGCCGGUGCGGACCAGAUAGUCUGUGGUGUAGUGGUAGACU
This 1072-nucleotide ribosomal RNA is filed under the name Prochristianella macracantha. Its description in RNAcentral is "eukaryotic LSU rRNA". It matches the Rfam family "Eukaryotic large subunit ribosomal RNA", at positions 23 to 625 of the family's 3401-position model. Lineage: Eukaryota; Metazoa; Platyhelminthes; Cestoda; Trypanorhyncha; Eutetrarhynchidae. The record is from RNAcentral.